CCUACGGGCGGCAGCAGUGAGGAAUAUUGGUCAAUGGGCGGAAGCCUGAACCAGCCAAGUCGCGUGAGGGAUUAAGGCCCUGCGGGUCGUAAACCUCUUUUGCCGGGGAGCAGUGGUCCGGACGAGUCCGGGCCGGGAGAGUACCCGGAGAAAAAGCAUCGGCUAACUCCGUGCCAGCAGCCGCGGUAAUACGGAGGAUGCGAGCGUUAUCCGGAUUUAUUGGGUUUAAAGGGUGCGUAGGCGGGCAUUUAAGCCGGCGGUCAAAUGUCGGGGCUCAACCCCGGCCUGCCGUCGGAACUGGGUGCCUUGAGUGGGCGAGAAGUAUGCGGAAUGCGUGGUGUAGCGGUGAAAUGCAUAGAUAUCACGCAGAACCCCGAUUGCGAAGGCAGCAUACCGGCGCCCGACUGACGCUGAGGCACGAAAGUGCGGGUAUCGAACAGGAUUAGAUACCCCGGUAGUC
RNAcentral lists this ribosomal RNA (460 nucleotides) under uncultured bacterium. RNAcentral describes it as "partial 16S ribosomal RNA". It matches the Rfam family "Bacterial small subunit ribosomal RNA", at positions 338 to 795 of the family's 1533-position model. The record is from RNAcentral.